RNAcentral lists this ribosomal RNA (527 nucleotides) under uncultured bacterium. Its description in RNAcentral is "bacterial SSU rRNA". It matches the Rfam family "Bacterial small subunit ribosomal RNA", at positions 777 to 1304 of the family's 1533-position model. The record is from RNAcentral.
AAUAGAUACCCUGGUAGUCCACGCCGUAAACGAUGAGUGCUAAGUGUUAGGGGGUUUCCGCCCCUUAGUGCUGCAGCUAACGCAUUAAGCACUCCGCCUGGGGAGUACGGUCGCAAGACUGAAACUCAAAGGAAUUGACGGGGGCCCGCACAAGCGGUGGAGCAUGUGGUUUAAUUCGAAGCAACGCGAAGAACCUUACCAGGUCUUGACAUCCUCUGACAACCCUAGAGAUAGGGCUUUCCCUUCGGGGACAGAGUGACAGGUGGUGCAUGGUUGUCGUCAGCUCGUGUCGUGAGAUGUUAGGUUAAGUCCCGCAACGAGCGCAACCCUUGAUCUUAGUUGCCAGCAUUUAGUUGGGCACUCUAAGGUGACUGCCGGUGACAAACCGGAGGAAGGUGGGGAUGACGUCAAAUCAUCAUGCCCCUUAUGACCUGGGCUACACACGUGCUACAAUGGACAGAACAAAGGGCUGCGAGACCGCAAGGUUUAGCCAAUCCCACAAAUCUGUUCUCAGUUCGGAUCGCAGU